RNAcentral lists this long non-coding RNA (18322 nucleotides) under Gossypium barbadense (sea-island cotton). RNAcentral describes it as "long non-coding RNA (GBAR_LNC002797)". The record is from RNAcentral. Lineage: Eukaryota; Viridiplantae; Streptophyta; Magnoliopsida; Malvales; Malvaceae.
UUUUGUUGGAAUAUUUUGGCAGAUGAACAGAUCGUAGUUGAACAUAUAUUACCUCUGCUUCUUGUAAUACCUGCUAUGUUCUGCGGAAGAAGAGAGCGAAAAUCUAACAAAAAUUAGGAUUAGAUCAUCAGAGAGACUCUUCAACAAAGAAAAAAAGAAAAAGAAAGAACAAAUAUGCAUAGAGAGGAGGAUUUCAUGGGAGUACAAUGCCAUGGACAGAUCAGCUGAUGAAGAAUGCAUGUCCUGUUUUUUGGCUCUUCCAUUGAACGCAUGCUGAAAACGAAGAAGCUUAGUUAGGGGUUAUAUUAGAUCAUUUGAAAUUGUGAGAUUGUUGUGAUUUAAACACCUCUUUUUCUGCAUCUAAAUUGUGAGAUUGGUGGCUGACAAUUGCUCCCAUUUAGAGCAGUGUUCAAAUGCACAAACACUUGCUGUCACUAAAUAGAACUUGAUAUCCUAUGCAUGAAUGGUGGCCAACCACAAAGUCAUUGUCUACGCUUUUCCGGUGCAAGUUUUAAGAAAGGGCCAAACAUUGGGAAUAAUCACCUGUAAUGGUAACAAAUACACAUACCCCUUAAUGUUUAGACCUCAAAACCUUGUACAAAAGCAAUUUAAAAUCUUAGUAAAAUGCUACCUUCAUCAGCCUUAUAUUUGCACAUAUAUGCUUCAAUAUAUAAAUAAUGAAACAUUUUAUUAGCCUCACCUCCAGUUAUUCUGAAGCAAGAUUCUUUCCUGUUGCGACCCCAACCCUGUUUAGUUUACUUGACAAGGACAUUGUGCGUUUAAGCUCUCUCAACAUGCCUCCAACAAGAACCUCCCAAUAGCUAGUAGUCAUUUGGCAUAUGUAUUACAACUCUUGACAUACUCCAUUUACAUCAUUUGUAUCAGAUCAAUUAGAGAUUAGAGGGAAAUUGGUGACAUAUAUUACCAUUUUGUGUUGUUGGAAAUUUUGGCAUAUAAACAAAUCGUAGUAGAAAUUAUGGCCUCUGCUUCUUGUAAUGCAAGCUAUGCUCUGCCGAAGAAAUCUAACAAAAAAUAAGAUUAGAUCAUCAGAGGGACUCUUCAACAAUGAAAUUCCGAAUAAAUCUACAAAAUUUGUGUCAUUCUUCAAAAAAGGAAAAACAAAAGAAAACAAAAAAUGUGUUUACAGAGGAGUAGAAUGCCAUAGACAGAUCAGCUGAUGAAGAAUGUAUGUACAUUUUGUUUUUUGCCUCUACCAUUGAAUUCAUGCUAAAAUCUUAAGGUUGUCAAAUACCUUUCAUCAAAAUAGACUCCAAUGGGUUACUGCAAAAAUUAGGAAAAUAUUAUGAAAAAUGAGAAAUACAAAAUUCACACGAUCACCCAUGAAAUAAAUCAUCCUCCACAUCAAUGUUUAUUUUAAAGAUUUUUUAGAAUUAAAUUAUUAGAAGCAAGUCUAUGAAAUGAGAGAUAUGAAAAGAAGCGCUCCUAUUACAUCAUUUCAAUUCUCAAAUUAAAUUACCCCCUCUUUUUAUGCAUAUAAUUUAUUGUAGUUGACAAAUGCCUUUCCCCAAUGCCUUACUGGACAAAUUACCAAAUUAUUAUGAAAGAUGGUAAGUAAAAUGUAGGAUUAAAACAAAGGAAUUUCAAUUGAAUAAUAUUUUAACAGUAAACAUCUAGCUUGAAUGUUAUUAGAAUAAAAAAUAGCAUGAGACACCAGAGUUAACAAACCUGAUUAACCACUCAAUUUUUUCUUGAAAAUAAACUAAGGUCAUAAAAAUAAAUAAUUGGAAAGGAUGUACCAACCUGAUUACAACUGAAUAUAGUUGUAAUAAAUAUGUGGGAUGUGAGCAAUUUUAUGCCAAUCAGCGCCAAUUUCCUUCCGAAAUCUUUCCUCCAACUGAGGAACUCCUUUUAUAUAUAACCGUUGCAAAUUGGUUAGGCAACGCAUCUCGUCUGGAAGUUAAAUUGGGCAAAUUCCUGAGAGGGAGCUCUUGCAGAUUUGUUAGAUGUUGAAUCCACUCCGGAAGUUGCCAACACUUUGGAAUAUUUUCCAGCGAUAGAGAGCGCAGGCUUGUAUGAUCUUGGAAUAUUUGGAACUUAGGUGCUGAUAACUCCAGCUCGUUGCAAUUACUUAUUGAAAACUCUUCAAGGGAAGUGAGAUGUUGGAACACAGGAAAGAGUGACCUCAAUCCAUUGCAAUUAUGGAUUUCUAAUGUUUUCAAUUCAACAAGUUGUUGAAGCCCAAGAGGGAGAGACACCAGCUGUGGAAUAUUAUUAAUCUUAAAAAAAGAGAGAUUCUUAAGGGGUUCCCAUUGCAUGCCCUCUAAAUCAACCUUCGUGCAACCAUCUAUUGUUAAUCUUUUGAGGCUGGUGAGAUGUUGCAGGGACUCAUCUAGCAUGGGAGUGUCCAGAUCCUCCAUAUUCUUUGCAUGGAAAGAUUUCAAUUUGGAGAGAGGAAGAGAAGAGGUUGAACUUGAUGGGGUCUUAGCAUCCAUGUUCUGUUGAAACAAAUGCAGCAACCAAUCUCAAAACAAACCAAGUUUUGAUAAGAAUGCCAGUAAACGAAAGUUUGAAAAUGAGAGGAAAUUUGAAAAACAAGAAGAUUGAGCUAAAAAGCCUUCAUUUUCAUUGAUAAUACCAGAUUAUAUGUAAAUUACAAAAAGAAGUUGACAGUUACCUAACAAUGUAACUGCUCCCACUUAUACUUGACUAAUACAAGACUGAAAUUCAAAUUAAAGCUAGCUGAUACAUCAGCCAUUACAUCAAGUACAAAUCAAAAAUCUUACUAACUUAGAUUACAAAUUACAAACUAACUAAGCAAAUUACAUUUGAACAAAAUGAAACCAAAAUGUACCAAGCUGUUGCUACUCUCGGUUCUGCUACUUUUCUGGUCUACUUGAAGAAGCUGCUAGUCAUAUGUUGCAUUGCAGGCCAAUGCUCAACACUCCUCCUUGGACUGUAUGCAACAUACACCAAUUAUCUCCCUUAAGGCUUCAAAUCUAGAUAUACCAAGUGGCUUUGUUAGAAUGUCAGCCAAUUGCUCUUGUGAGCUGCAAUGGACAAGACUAACUUCUCCUGUCUGCUCAGCCUCUCUAACAAAAUGAAAUUUGAUCUUGAAAUGCUUAGUCUUGCCAUGGAAGAUUGGAUUUUUAGCAAUAGCCACUGCUGACUGGUUGCCAACCUUAAUUUCAGUAGGUUCAAGUUGCUCUUCAUUGAGAUCAUAUAGCAACUUUCUAAGCCAAAUGGCUUGAUUUACUGCUGCUGCAGCUGCAAUGUACUCAGCUUCAGCUAUGGAUUGAGCAACAGUUUGUUGCUUCCUUGAACUCUAGCUAAAUACUCCUGAGCCAAGGGUGAAGAAGUAACCUGAAGUACUUUUCAUAUCAUCAACAGACCCUACCCAAUCACUAUCAGAGUAUCCAGCCAACUUGACUCCCUUUUCAUUCUUGAAUAAGACACCAUAACUCAAAGUUCCCUUGAUAUAUCUGAGGAUCCUUUUGGCUGCUUUGAAGUACGUCACAGUACUGCAAUGCAUAAACCUUGACAAGAGACUAACACCAAACAUGAUAUCGGGCCUAGUUGCUGUUAAGUAGAGCAAGCAACCAACUAAACCGCGAUAUUCUCUUUCAUCAACCCUUUCUUCAUUUUCAUUGCUAGACAGCUUCUCUCCUUGUGCCACUGGUGUGCUAACACUUUUACAAUUCUCCAUACAAAAUCUUUUGAGAAUUUUCAAUGCAAAAGCAUGUUGGCUGAUGAAAAUGCCUUGAACAGACUGGUUUACUUCCAUACCAAGGAAGUAUGUCAUGAUUCCUAGAUCUGUCAUCUCAAAUACUUCCAGCAUUUGUUCUUUAAACUCACUAAUCAAUUUUUCCUUGUUUCAGUCACAAGUAAAUCAUCUACAUAGAGUGACACGAUCAGUAAGGUUUUACCUUCUAAUCUCUUCACAUAGAGUGUGGCUUCACUUACACUCUUUUCAAAUCCAAGCCUAGACAGGUAAGUAUUUAUCCUGUCAUACCAGGCUCUUGGUGCCUGCUUCAGACCAUACAGGGCUUUCUUUAGUCUAUAAACCUUAUCCUCUUCUCCUGGGACUUUAAACCCUUCUGGUUGCUCUAUGUAAAUUUCCUCUUUCAGAAAACCAUUUAAAAAGGCUGACUUGACAUCCAAUUGGUGAAUCUUCCACUAUUUUUGUGCAGCCAAGGCAAAGAGAAGCUUGAUUGUGUCAAGCCUAGCUACUGGAGCAAAUGUCUCCAUGAAAUCAGUGUCAUACUCUUGACUAUAGCCCUUUACCACCAAUCUUGCUUUAUGUUUGUUUAAAGAGCCAUCAGAGCUGAAUUUGGCUCUAAAAACCCACUUGACACCUAUGACCUUCUUCUGAUCUGGCCUAUCAACCAAGUCCCAUGUUUCAUUCUUCCUGAUCAUCUCAAGCUCAGCUUCCAUUGCUUCCUUCCAGCUUCUGUCUCUUGCAGCUUCUUUAUAGCUUGAAGGCUCAACUAUUGCUAUAUUGCAGCGAUGGUAGAUAUCAGCAAUGGUUCUGGUUCCUCUCACAGGAGGAUCAUCAAUAUUUUCACUUUCUGGUUCAUUCUCAACUGGCUCUAAGCUGAUGUCAAGUUGAUCUCCAUCAAUCUGACUUGCAUCUGAACCUUCCCAAUUCCAAAACUUUUCUUCAUCAAAUUUGAUGUCUCUGCUCACCAAAAUUUUCUUUGUUGAAGGGUCAUACAAUCUAUAGCCUUUUUUACUACUGCUAUAGCCAACAAAUAUGCCAGGGGCAGACCUUUUCUCAAGUUUGGUUCUUCUUUCAGCUGGAAUUAGCACAUAGCACACACAUCCAAACACUUUCAGAUGGGAAACUGAUGGUUUGAGUCCUUGCCAUGCCUCAAACGGUGUUUUGUCCUUGACAGCUCUUGUUGGAAGCUUGUUCAGCAGAUAGACUGAGGUGUUGACAGCUUCUGUCCAAAAGUUACUUGGAAGCUUGCUUUGAAACAGUAAAUAUCUGGCCAUAUUCAUCACUAUUCUAUUUUUUCUUUCACAAACUCUAUUUUGUUGUGGAGUAUAGACAGUGGUUAGCUGAUGAUGGAUACCUGCAUGCUCACAAAGCUCUUAAAACCUCUCAGACAAGUAUUCAGCCCCAUUGUCAGUUCUUAGUGCCUUAAUCUUACAGCCUGUCUGGUUUUUCACUAGUGCCUUAAAUUUGCUAAAGGCUUCAAACACUUCAGACUUUUGUUUCAUGAAAUGAACCCAACAAAAUCUGGUCAGAUCAUCAAUGAACAAUACAAAAUACUUGCUGUCAUUUAAAGAAGGGGACUUCAUUGGUCCACAAAUAUCAGAGUGCACCAGUUCAAGCCUUUCUUGAGCUCUCCAAGCUUGGUUUACUGGAACUGGCAAUCUGGCUUGCUUACCAAACUGGCAAACAUCACAAACACUGUCACUUGCUUCCACUUUAGACAUAUCCUCCACCAAAUUCUAUUUUUGUAACAGGUCAAGUGAUCUGUAGUUAACAUGCCCUAGUCUUCUAUGCCAUAAGCUAGCAUUAUCAGUCAAGUUUACAUAAGCUUUGUUUUCAAGCUUAUUAACAUCAAGCAUGAAACAUUUAUCUACCAUGCCUACUGUGAUCAAUUCUUGACCAUGGCAGUCCUCUAUAACACAUGAAUCAUUUUUGAAAACUAGGGAAUACCCUUUUUUAACUAGUUGACCAACACUCAACAGAUUCUAAUCAAUAUCAAGCACAAAGAGCACAUCUGAAAUGACUUUGUUACCUGAACAAGUGCUGAUUAAAACACUGCCUCUGCCUUUGGCUUCAAUCAGUUCACCAUUACCAAUUCUGAUUUUUGAGCCAUAGCUUCUGUCAAGAUCCUUGAACAGACUCUCAUCACUUGCCAUGUGGUGUGAGCAGCCACUAUCCACCAACCAAUUGCUUCUAACUUUGCUUGAAGAUGCAAAGCAGGAGGCUGUGAACACAUGCUUCUCCUGAGCUUGAAGGUCCUCAGCAGCUUGAGCUUGUAUCUGCUGUUGUGCUGGUGCCUUUGGUUUGUUUUUACAAACUUUCUCAACAUGGCCAAACUGUUUGCAGCUCCUGCAUUGGAUGUCUGGCCUAAACCAGCAAAACCUUUCAGAGUGAGUGGUCUUCUUACAAUGGACACAUGGUGGAAACUUUCUCUUGCCUGAAUCUCUCCUUGGUUUAUCCCUCUUGUCAAGCCAAGGCUUCUUUGUCUUCUGACUUGUGCUGGAGCUCUCUUUGGCCUUUGCUUGGAAGGCUCCUUCAGGAUGGUCUUCCUGCCUAUUGGCCCUUCUCUGCUCCAAAGCAUAAAGGGAGUUCACCAACUCAGACAAAGAGAUGGUUGUCAAGUCCCUUGAAUCCUCAAGUGAUGAGAUUUUGGACUCCAAUCUCUCAAGAAGUGUGGUGAUAACCUUCUCAACCACUCUACUGUCACUGAAAUCUUCACCAAGCAGCCUUAUGCUGUUGACAGUGACCAUGAUCGUGUCUGAGUAUUGUUUAAUGCUCUCAGACUCUUUCAUCUUCAGGUUUUCAAAGUCCUUUCUCAAGUUGAUAACUUGUUGCUACCUAGUUUUAUCUGACCCCGUGAACUCCUCCUUCAACCUUUCCCAUGCUUCCUUAGGUGUGCUGCAGGCCAUGAUGCGAGUGAAGAUUACAUCUGUCACUCCAUUUUGCAAGCAGGCCAAGGCUUUAUGCUUCUUGGUGCUCUCUUCAGCAUGCUGCCUCAUUCGAGCAAUAGUGGGAUCGGCUCUCAAUGGAGGUGGUUCGAUGUCAUUCUCAACUACACUCCACAAGUCUUGAGCUUGAAGGUAUGUUUCCAUUUUGACUACCCAAAUGUGUUAGUUCUCACCAGCAAACACUGGGGGUGGAGGAGAUGUGAAACUCAUCUUGCUGAAACAACCUCAACAGCUUCGAUCUCCUGUUCUCAAGCUUGUGUUCUCUUAACAAAACAACCAACAAAAUAGAGGCCCUCAAAGACUUAGGCUUUGAAUACCAUUUGUUGAAACAAAUGCAGCAACCAAUCUCAAAACAAACCAAGUUUUGCUAAGAAUGCUAAUAAACAAAAGUUUGAAAAUGAGAGGAAAUUUGAAUAAUAAAAAGAUUGAGCUAAAAAGCCUUUAUUUUCAUUGAUAAUAUCAGAUUAUAUGUAAGUUACAAAGAGAAGUUGAUAGUUACCUAACAAUGUAACUGCUCCCACUUAUACUUGACUAAUACAAGAUUGAAAUUCAAAUUAAAGCUAGCUGAUACAUCAGCCAUUACAUCAAGUACAAAUCAAAAAUCUUACUAACUUAGAUUACAAAUUACAAACUAACUAAGCAAAUUACAUAUGAACAAAAUGAAACCAAAAUGUACCAAGCUAUUGCUACUCUCAGUUCUGCUACUUUUCUGGUCUGCUUGAAGAAGCUGCUGGUCACAUGUUGCAUUGCAGGCCAAUGCUCAACAUGUUCAUCUUGAUAGUCCGCUUAAACGGCAAUGAACUGGUAUUCACCAACCUUAGAUCACCAUCGACUGAUGGAUACAAUGGCAUUGAAGUCAAAGGGAAAUUUUGAAUCCAUAAAGUGGAAAGAUAAAGAAAUGCCAUGGUUGACGUUCCCAUAACUGUUGUGUCGUCCUCGUCGGAAUCAUCAUCGAUUGGUUUUCUUGUCGUCCACCAACUCUUCAUAUUCUUGCAAUUCACGAGUUGAAGAUACUUGAGCGAUGGGAAGAAUGAUUCUGGUUCUCCUUGACUUCCUUUUGGGCUGUAUCCAUGUACUCCAGCGCAGAACAAUCAAGAAUCCUCAAAUCUUGAAGACAAGGCAAUUGAGCAACGGACGGGAGAUAUUUGACUUUAUUAGGACCCUCUAUGUUAAUAUCAACGAGAUUUGUGAGCAAAGAAAGCAAACUUGGAAAUUUCGCAUCACCCCCCAUUCAUAGAUUUGGAGCUUCUUGAGAUUAAGAUGGGGCCGGAGGUCUUUAAGCAACUUAUUGUCAUCAUCAUCAUUAUCACCAUUCCAUUGUAAAAUCAACGAUCCCAAAUGUUGCUUCCCUUCCAAAAUAGGAGUCUUAAACUUCUCUUUUGUAUUUUUUACAAAUCUCAAAUUUGUUAUUUUAAGCUGUCCCCUUAAGUUGUUAAGCCCACUCAAUUCACUUAGAUCUGCACCGUCAUGGGAACCAUAUCUAUCCACUACAAACAUGCUUAACUCCUCAAGUGAAGUCAACUUUCCUAUUCCACGUGGCAUGUGAGUUAAAUCAUCACAUCUAUAACAUUUAAGAUGGGUAAGAUUCACCAAUUUUUCAAUCUUCUUCGGCAAUUCUUUAAGCCAUCGACACUGGUCAAGUUUAAGCACUUUCAAAUUUUGUAUCUUGCAAAUACUCUUUGGGAGAAUCUCAUGAUCAAUGCCAGAAACAUCAAGGUACCUCAAAUGUUUCAACUUAUGAAUGGAAAGUGGAAUUGUACUAAAAUCAAAAUAAUUCAAUUUUAAGACACGCAAGCAUCUAUAAUUUGAAAUUAUAAAAUGCCAAAUUUCGUCCCUCUUAUCUUGAUGUCUCUCAUUUGAAAAUUGUAAUAAGGUUCGCAAUUUCUUUCCUUUAAAUAAAAGAAUUAAUGAAUCAUCAUUAAUUGAUAUAUGACGACAUUUUUCAUCAACCUCACUUGCACUUGAAUUUGAAUCUACAAUAACACUCUCUUUCCCUGCUACAAAUUCAGCUAGAUCGUGCAUUAAAUCAUGCAUUUUACAUAUCAUAAAGUUUUUUCCUUUUACUUCUUGAAAGAAACUUCUUUCCGCUAAUUCUUUAAAAUAUCCAAACCCAAUCUCUUGAAGAGAUUGUGUUCCAUUUGAUUGUUUUAUGAAACCUUGUGCAAUCCAAAAUUGAACAAGCGUUUGUACAACAAUUUCAUAAUCUUUUGGAUACAAUCGGCAAUAAGUAAAGCAAUGCUUCAAAUGGGCCGGGAGAUGAUCAUAACUCAACUUAAGUGUAGGUAGAAUAUUAUCUUCCUUUUGAGAUAUUCUAGCAAGUUCAUUAUCUUUGAAAGAACACCACUCCUUUUUAGUUUCUUUGUAAAAUAAUGUACUAGCUAUCAUCCUUAUGACUAAAGGAACCCCACUACACCUUUCCAAAAUCUGUUGUCCUAUUUUCACAAAGGCUAAAUCUGUUGAGUCUGCAUAUCUUUGCUCAAAUGCUAUUUCUUUGAACAAAGACCAAGCAUCAAAAUCAGACAAGCCUUUUAGAACAUGAGGAUGACAUUUACUAGUGAUCUUGGCUACCUUAAAAGAGCGAGUAGUUAUUAUUAUCCUACUUCCUCUAGCCCCACCUAUCAAUAACUCUUUUAAACUAACCCAAUUUUCCCGCUUAUCAUUCCAAAUGUCAUCUAAAACAAGUAAAUAUUUUUUCCCACCAAUUUUUUCUCGAAGUUGUUUUUGCAAUUGCUUAAUUUUGAGAUUUUGAUCUGGAGCUUGGCCAGUUGCAGAUUCGAUAAUGUUUUUUUACAAUUAGUUUGACAUCAAAAACAUCCGAAACACACACCCACAUCAUCAACUCAAAAUGAUUUUUGACCAUUUCAUCAUUAUAGACAAACUGGGCCAAAGCAGUCUUCCCUAACCCUCCAAAUCGCACAAUUAGAAUGAUGUAAACAUUCUCUUCACUUUCAAACUCUAACACGAGUUUUAGAAUAGCUGCUUUAUCAUUGUCCCUCCCUAUUAUUUAAUCUUUAGGUGCAAAAGAGUGUGUUUGCUGCCUCUUUUUAGUCAUGAAAGAGGUUUCCAAGGGGCGGUCACGCACCAUGAAGCUAAAAGUGUUGGCCUUACUUUCAAUUGAAGCUAGUCUCGCCUUAAUGGCCUUAAUUUUCUGACCUAUUUUGAGACCGUAAGCAAACUAAUUUGAGCUUGAGAAGAAAAGGCGUACCUCUUUCAUCAGCUUUUUCCCACCCAUUAGAUCUUUCCGCAAAGUUUCGGUAGAGAAAUCAUCAAGCAAGUCGUCGGCAUCAUAAAGUACAUCUUUCAGGUCCUGAAGCCAAACUUUAACGAAAUUGUUGGUCACUGAUUUCUCUUCUGCAUCAAGGAGCACAGCUUUGAUGGUGGAGACAGUGGUUCGGAGGUCAUCGAGGUCAUCUUUGACAUUCCACCACAGUCCAAUUUGAGAGACAGCGAAGGAGCUCAAUUUAGUAAUAAGCUCUACGGUAAUGUCGGAAGCAAUUGCUUCGGCCAUUGUUGGUUCAAAAAAUGUUUGAUUACUGCAAGAGGAGGAGUAAAAUGAAAAUGAUUGGAACAAGAUGAAACACAGAUGUGGAUCCAUACAUGCAGAGACUAAGUAUUUUAUAGAUGAAAAUAAUAUUGGUCCACCAUGUUUCAUGUUUGACACAAUUUUUAUAAAAUAAAUUCAAUAUUCCAUUUAUUUUUUAAUUCCAAUUGCUUUCCACGAUGCAUUGAAAUUAUUCCCAUCACAUGCUGAAGGAAAUAAAAGCCAUAGAUGUAAUCAAAUUAUUAUAUACUAUGUGUCUGCGCUCAUACCUUAUUAUUGUUGUUGUUUUUAACCUCGCUAGAGCAUACAAAGAGAGUCUAAAUAUAAUUUGCUCAAUUUCUUAUAAAUAUGCUAACGCUCUUUUAUUAUAUUUUCCUUUUCUUAAAAAAACAAAAUAAAAAAUAUUAAUUUCAUAAUAAUGAAUAAAUAAAUGUAGCCUUAGCCCACUAAUUAGUGCAUGUUUUAUUUAUUCAAAAAGUGAGGCUAAAAAUCAUUGUUUUUCAAGUUAAAAUAAAAUACAAAAAUUAAGGUUAACAAACAUCAAUUUUCUAAAUUUAUAUGGUGCAACAAAUUACAUGGGCUUAAUUGCAAUUUUUUAAAAACAUUUCACGUAUGGUUAAUCAGUGUUUCCUUUGACCAUUUAUGGACGUUAGCGUUGCCCUCCAUUCUAUCAAGAAGUCCGUUCUCCAUAAUAAAACUUUCUAACUUAGAAACUGACCGUGAAUCGAUACCUUUUAAAUGCAAAAUGACAUGCACAAAAGAAAGAAAACAGUCAGUAUCAUAUAAUAUUAAUAAACAUAAAGAUAACCUAAGUAUAAUUCUAUCUAUAUUGAGCUCUUACGGUUUUUCUAUAUGUGGUUUGUUUCUAAAGUUUGAGGUACUCGAACCAGCAGAUUCCUCGAUCCUCACCCAUUAUAGGCUCAUUUGAAUCGAGUUCAGUUCAGGGGAAUACAUUUCCCUAUGGCUACAUGGAGAUGAAAAUCUCAUGAAACCAUAGGUAGUAUCCCGAAAGUGAUCCACUAUCCUGCACGGAGGCGAAAACCUCACGAAGGCAUAGCUUCUCACUCCCACUUAAGGGUGUGACCACAACGGUCAUGCAAAUGCAAUGCGUAUCAAAAUAUAGCAACACAUGCAAUAAUACAAACACAUGUAAUGCAAAGAGGAUUAAAUUUUAAUAUUUUUAAUUUCCGACAUUAAGACAAGAGAUAAUCAAUUACACGGCUUGACUCUCUUAUUAGUCCCCAGUGGAGUCGCCAAGCUGUCGAAACCAUUUUCUAAAUCGAGUUUUGGAAAAUGGGAAUCGAUUUUAAAAAAUGAAAACGGGAGUCGCCACCAAUCUUUUUAGGUGUGAUUGGAUCACCUUUAAAACAUUUUGUUUUAAAAUCAUUAGUUUUGGUCCAUGAAAUAAAAGAACGGAUUCGGGAGUCGGUUACGUACGAGGAAGGAUUAGCACCCUCGUAACGCCCAAAAAUUGGUACCUAAUUGAUUAUCAAAUGUCUUUAAUGUCGGAAAAUUAAAAAAUUUUAAGAUGUAAUCCUCUUUAAAAUACUUUGAUUUUGAAAAUUUGGGUUCACUCGUAUCAAAACAUUGACACUAAGUUAACCUUUUGGAAAUCCCUAUCUCGAAACGACAAAUCGCCACAUCCAAUAAGUUAGGACACAACACCUUGAAAUUCCAAGACAGUUGCUCGUAUUUUGAAAAUCUUAAAAACUUAGAAGGGUACUUGACUAUUCGAACUCAACGAGAAAAGUUGCAACCCAAUAAGUUAGGGCACUACUUUUCUCGAAGCUUUCAAAUACUAAGUAUUGCAUUUUUUAUUUUUAUAAAACUUUUAAAUAUUGUUUUAAAUGACCUUUUAGAGUGACAAUUCUAUAUUACGAAACAUAGAUAUUCAAAUAGCGUAUAUUACAAAGUAUUAUAACACUUUAUAUAAAUGCAAUCACUAUAUAGAGGGUCAAAUAGAAUAAUAAAAAUAAUCAUGCUAAGCAAAUAGGAAUAUACCCAAAAGAAAGCAUAAUAAAUGCACUAAUUAUAUACAAUAUAUCAUAAAUAAAACAUUAAAUAAUAUAAAAAACAUGGUAAAUAUUAAUGUGUAAAAUAUGUAUGAGUAAAAAUAGAUGACAUGCAUAGCAAAUGGAUAAAUAGAAUCUACAUAAAAUAUAAAAUAUACAAUCCAAUAAUUUAAUGUACAUAUGAAUGGAUUAAUAAAUGAAAUGAUGCAUAUAAUACAAUAUAUCAAUGUACAUAUAUAAAAAUAUGCAUUUGAAAGUAAAUUAUAAAAGUCUAAGAUAUUACAUAACAUAUGAAAUACAUAACAUAACAAUAAUACAUUAAUUCUAAAGUAAAAACAAAUAUUGUAUAAUAAUAAAAAAACAUAAGUUUUAAAAAUAUAUGUAUAAUAUAAACAAUUGAUAAAUAGAAUGAGCAUAUAAAAAAUGUGAUAUUUUAUAAUAAAUUUAAAAUAUAAUAUAUAAUAAAAAAUAUAUUUAUAAGAAUAAUAAUUAUAUAAAAAAUAUAAAAUAUAUUGGUUUAGAAAAAUAAUGUAUAAAAUAUCAAAUAUGUAAAAGAAUUUAUAUUUAUAAUGAAAUGAUUAUAUAAUAUAUAUACAUGCAUAGAAAAUAUAUAUUUGAAAAUAAACUAUAUAAAAAGGUUAAAUAUUAUGAUAUAUAAAAUACAUAAUCAAAUGUAUAAAAGAUAGAAAAAAAAUAUACAUAUUUGAAAAAUGAAGAAAUUAAAAUAAAAAAAGGGUUGAAAAACUAAGAUAGACGAAGAAUAAAAUAAGAACAAAGCAUAUAGAGUAAGAAUGCAAGAGGGAGAGAAAUUUGAGUGAAUGCUCACCAGAAUUCUUAUUGCUUCCCAAAAACUCAAGUGAUUUACAAUGAAGGGAGAGACCUCUAUUUAUAGUUGAGCCUCCCCAGAUCCAACGGUACAGAUCAAUUACAUCAACGGUUAAGAUUAAAGGAUAUCUACAAAUUAAAUCUCCAAGAUUACAAAAUCAUAUCUUCUAAGAUUGUAUAUCAUAUCUAAUAUUGCAAUCAUAUCUAAGAUUGUAUCAUAUCUAAGAUUGUAUCAUAUCUAAGAUUGCAUAUCACAUCUAAGAUUGCAUAUCAUUGAAGAUUAUAUUUCCAUAUGAGUCAAGCUUGUAGAUGGACCUUAAAUCUUUUCAAGUAAUGGGUCAUUCCGAUCGAGCCAAAUUAUAUUUGUAAUUUUGGACUGAACUUGGACUUCGUUUUUUUUUGGGGUUUAUUAUUUUAAAUACUGAAAUGAGUCGGGAAAAAUUGAGUGUCUACAUAUAUAUAUAUAUGAACCACAAUUCAAGUUUCAUGUGUAGACAAAUUCAAUUGUGCAUCCCUGCAUUUGAAUACUGUUUGGAAUAUUAAAAAUGUGUUUUUCAUGAGUUGGUACAUAUUAUUUGACAAGGAAAUAAAGAACACAAUUAAGAUGUUUACGCAGUUCAGAACUCGUCUUACUGUCUGCAGGGUCUUGCCCAAAGGUGAAUACACUAUGAACUUCACAGUACAAAGAAAUGAUUUAAGCCUAACCCCUUGAACACUUGAUGCAAUCUCACUUUUAUACAAUUAGGUAAACUCUCUCCCAACUCAUUUUAGCUAUGCAAGUGAAAAUCAACAUUCGACACUCAAAGGUGUACAACAAUAGCACUCAAUAAUAGUUCUUACUAUGAACAUGUGUGCUUCUUAAAAUUCACACAUCACUCAUAAAAUAAAUCAUCUAUAUAUGUUAAAUAUGACUCCUAUUUUCAGUCAAAUUUGAAAAAUAGUCUUUCAGUUAAACUCUGUUUACUUGUUUCAAUCAAACACUGAUUAGUUUAGAUUAUUUUAUUAUUAUUUGAUUUAUGAAUUUAGCCUAUAAAUAGGCUCUUUUACAACCUUAGAAAAACACCCAUUAGAGAUUAGAACUCAUAACACAUUUAGAGAAUUUUGUGUUUACGUUUUGUGGGUUCUUUGUUUUCGGGUUUUUGGAGUUUAGUUUUUAUCUCCAUCUUUUGUACUCUUCGUUCUUUUGUCAUUAUAGUAAAAUUAUCUUUGCCGGUGGUUUUUUAUCCUCUUUGGAGGGGUUUUUUCACGUUAAAUUUGUGUGUUCAAUUUCUCAAUUUAUUCUGCUAUUUUCUUGUUCGUUACUUAAUCGGGUUAAAAUCCUAACAAUAUAUAAGCUUGAGGAUUAAUGAAGCUCAUUCCAUAUAAAUAGAAACAAUAAAUUUCCAAAUGCAAUAUCUCUAACCAUUGUCAUGUUUGAAUUAGGAGUCUUCCAAAAGCAACAAUGAACCUGGACAUUAUAAAUUCCAACAUAGAAUAUGUUACUAACUCCCAUCAUUUAUUUACACCUCAAAACCUUUUGCAAAAGAGAUUUAAUUUAUUUUUUUACUAAAAUACUCACCAUUAUCAGCAUUAUGUUUGCACAUAUGUGUGUCCUUGUUCAUAUAAAAAUAAUGAAACAUUUUAUGAACCUCAACCUCACCACCAAAUAUUCUGAAGCAACUUCCAUUCCUUCCUGUUUGGACCAUCAAUAACAAAUUUAGCUGAAAUUCCAAACACCUAAAAGGGUGAUUGUGAAUUUGAACGCCUCCAAUAGCCUGUGAAUAGCAUAGGUACCAUCUAAGAUAGUAAUGAUAGGUAAGUGCUUAAAUUUGGAAAACGAACAAAGCAGAGCAUAUAGUACAACCAUUUUGAAGGGUAGCAUGCAAGCUUCAUAGGCCUCUCUCUCCGCAUCAAUGAUUUUUUUAGAAUUAAAUUAUUAGAAGCCCUUAAAUUGAAGUCUAUGAAAUGAGAGAUAUGAAAAGAAGAACUAACCAUGCCGUCCUAUUUCAUCAUUGCAAUUCUCAAAUUAUUAUGAUUUUAAAGUGUAAAGUAAUUAGAUGUAUUACCACCUCUUUUUAUGCAUAUAAAUUAUUGAAGUUGACAAAUGCCAUUCCCCAAACUACUCUCCAAUGCCUUACUGUACAAAUUAGCAAAAUAUUAUGAAAGAUGGUAAGUAAACAGUAGGAUUAAAACAAAGGAAUUUCAAUUUAUUUGAGAUGUCAAAUGAAUACUAGUUUAAUAGUAUCCAACUUGAAUGAAAAAUGGCAUGAGAGCCCAGAGUUGGAGACUAAAUAUACCACUCAAAGUUUUCUUUUUAAAAAAAUACAGUUAUUGUGAUAUCUUCAGUUCGGGUCAGUUGUUUAGGUCGGGUUAAGGAGAUUACAGAAUGAGGUAAAAUUUUCAAUAAUAAAGAAAUAAAAAUCAUUACCCCACUUACAAAAAAAACAAAUAAAUGUAUAUUAAAAUAAUUAAAAUGCUACUACCAUUAAUAAUUAGUGGACUUUAUCUUAAUUAAAUUGAAAAUAGCUCACAAGGCAAAAAUUAAAAAUAUAUAGACAUCUCUUCUCCCCUUGCAAGCUUGAGAUGUUGAGCUACGAUAAUUGUUGAAAUAAUACAAUCCCAUAUUAAAAAAAUACAAGGUCGUAGAGUGCUUGUACUAUUAUAAAUAAAUGCACUUUCUCCACUUUUAAAUCAUCCAAAAAAUUGACAUUUUCUUCAAAAGAAAUUUUCCCUCUUUCUAUUUGUAAAUCUUUAGCAAUGAAAUAUAUUUGGCUGUGUUUGAGGAUAUAAGUGUAAUUUGCUGAAUCUUGUUAAAUUUCUAGUGUUUUUUUAUUAUUAUGAUUUUCUAGAACAAUAAUUUACUUUCUUUUAUCUUAUUUGCACAAUACUAACCUUAUUCAUAUAAUAUUAAUUUUACCCAAAAUUUUCUUCUUCAACAAAGAAACUAAUGCUCAAUUAAAACAAAAACCCUAAAAUACAAAAGUUAAUAGAAGAUAAAAGGAAGACACCGAAUCUAGGUAUAAUUGUUUUGUAUUGCAGGGCAUCCAUAUUUUCAUCCUCAACAUUUGGUAUGUGAAGGGAGCUAAGCUAAGCAUUCAACCAAUCAUUAGGUGCUGAAGCGCUUUCAUUAAAUGAUAGUUUUAGAUAAUAUACACAAAAUUGCCUAAUAAUUAGUUGUGUUUCCAUGUAUUGGAACAUUAUCUAAAACACAAAAAGAGAAAAAUAUAGUUUUUCUUAAGUUGACACACACAAGUAAAAAUAAAGAAGAAUAAAAAACACAACCAAGAUUUUACGCAGUUCGGAACUCAUCCUACGUCUGCGGGACCUUGUCCAGAGAUGAAUUCACUAUGAACUUUACAGUACAAAUAAAUUAUUUAUGCCAACCCUCCAAACUUGGUGCAACCUCACCUUUGUACAAUUAACUAAACACUCUUCCAACUUACUUUAGCUAUACAGAGGGAAAUCAACACUGAAAAAGUGGCACUUAAUAAUAGUUCCUUACUAAAUGUUCCUUUAAAUCCUCACAUCACCCACGAAACAAAUCAUCUAUAUAUAUAAGCUCCAGGAUCAACCAAGCUUUACAUAAAUAUUUCUUCUGGAAUCUCAAUGCGAUGAGACAUUGCAAUCCUCAGAAAGAAAGGAAGGAAGAACUUGGGUAAUGGCAGGGUGUUUAUUAGUGAGCUAAAGAUAUCAAGAUCUCCAAGGUGGCUUCUAGCCCAUCAAUUUUCUCUAUAUAGCAACAAUGAACCUGCAAAUUAUAAAUGCCAAUACAUAUUAUGUUAAAAUUUAUGUCAUUUAGACUGAGCAGUGUCCUAAUGUAGAAGAAACACUUACUUUUACUAAAUAGAACUUUAUAUUAUGUGCAUGAAUGGUGGCUAACCACAAAGCCGUUGUCUAUGAUUUUCCACUCUAAGUUUUACGAAAGGGCCAAACAUUGGGCAUUGUCAUCUGUAAUAGUAACAAAUUCCCAUCUCCAUUAGUCUUCACACCUCAAAACGUACUGCAAAAGGGAUUUAAUUAUUUUUUACUAAAAUACUCACCAUUAGCAACCUUACAUAUGUGCUCUUUUAACAAAUUAUCUAUAUAUAAGCUUCGGGAUGGACCAAGCUUUACAUAAGCUCCAUGUAAACUGAAAUAACAAAUUUUCAAAUGCAAUAUCAUUCAGCCUAUCUUCAAUUGUCAUGCUUGAAGUAGGACUCUUCCAAAAGCAACAACGAACCUGGAAACUAUAAAUGCCAAUAUAGAAUAUGUUCAAAUUUAUCUAUUUUAGACCAAGCUGUGUCCAACGUAGAAACACUUACUGUUACAAAACCCAACUUUAUAUCAUGUGCAUCAAUGGUGGCUAACCACAACCCCGUUGUCUAUCCUUUUCCAGUGCAAGCUUAACAAAGGGCCAAACAUUGGGCAUCAUCAUCAUCAUCUGUAAUGGUAACAAAUUCACAUCCCAGUUAGUAUUAAUAUAUUGUUGUUCAUCUAUAAAUAAUGAAAACAUUUUAUCAACUUUAAAAUUCUAACAGCUAAAAGGGGUGCCUGCAUCAAAGAAUAUUGUGAAAUACCCCCCUCUCCCCCCUCCAUUUUCAUCAAACCUUAACCCCCUAGCCCCUAUUCAAAUUACUUACUUGACAACCACAUUGCGUGUUUAAGCUCUCUCGAACACAACUCCCAAGAAUCUGUCAAUAGCAUAGGUACCAUAUAAGCUGCUGACAUAUAUAUUACAACUCUUGAAAUACUCCAUAUAUAUAAUUUAUAUCAGAUCAACUGGGAAUUACAAGGAAACUGAUGACAUAUAUUACCAUUUUUGUUUUGUUGGAAUAUUUUGGCAGAUGAACAGAUGGUAGUUGAACAUAUAUUACCUCUGCUUCUUGUAAUAUCUGCUAUGCGCUGCGGAAGAAGAAAGCGAAAAUUUAACAAAAAUUAGGAUUAGAUCAUCAGAGGGACUCUUAAACAAAGAAAAAAAGAAAAAGAAAGAACAAAUGUGCAUAGAGAGGAGGAUUUCAUGGGAGUACAAUGCCAUGGACAGAUCAGCUGAUGAAGAAUGCAUGUCCUUCUUUUUGGCUCUUCCAUUGAACACAUGCUGAAAAAGAAGAAGCUUAGUUAGGGGGUUAUAUUAGAUCAUUUGAAAUUGUGAGAUUGUUGUGAUUUAAACACCUCUUUUUCUGCAUCUAAAUAUCUGGGUAGAAAACAAAUCCGGGUAGAAAGUAUGGUCUCUGCUUUUUGUAUUGCAUGCUAUGCUCUGCCGAAGAAUAGACUUCACACUAAAUCUACAUUAUUCGAUUUUGUUUUAUUGAAUCAAAUAGAAAAUAGAAGAAAAGAAAUGAGUGAUAUGAAUUACCUGCCAUUC